RNAcentral lists this ribosomal RNA (397 nucleotides) under uncultured Pseudomonas sp. RNAcentral describes it as "bacterial SSU rRNA". It matches the Rfam family "Bacterial small subunit ribosomal RNA", at positions 987 to 1382 of the family's 1533-position model. Lineage: Bacteria; Pseudomonadati; Pseudomonadota; Gammaproteobacteria; Pseudomonadales; Pseudomonadaceae. The record is from RNAcentral.
UGCAGAGAACUUUCCAGAGAUGGAUUGGUGGCCUUCGGGAACGUCUGACACAGGUGCUGCAUGGCUGUCGUCAGCUCGUGUCGUGAGAUGUUGGGUUAAGUCCGUAACGAGCGCAACCCUUGUCCUUAGUUACCAGCACGUUAUGGUGGGCACUCUAAGGAGACUGCCGGUGACAAACCGGAGGAAGGUGGGGAUGACGUCAAGUCAUUAUGGCCCUUACGGCCUGGGCUACACACGUGCUACAAUGGUCGGUACAAAGGGUUGCCAAGCCGCGAGGUGGAGCUAAUCCCAUAAAACCGAUCGUAGUCCGGAUCGCAGUCUGCAACUCGACUGCGUGAAGUCGGAAUCGCUAGUAAUCGUGAAUCAGAAUGUCACGGUGAAUACGUUCCCGGGCCUU